GUGCUUGCUGUGGAAGCACAUAUACUAAAAUUGGAAUGAUACAGAGGUUAGCAUGGCCCCUGUGCAAAUGCUAUGUUCAUAUUUUCCAUAUGAUAAAGCCUUUAUUU
Small nuclear RNA from Jaculus jaculus (lesser Egyptian jerboa), 107 nucleotides. Lineage: Eukaryota; Metazoa; Chordata; Mammalia; Rodentia; Dipodidae. The record is from RefSeq and is a predicted model, not a curated record.